Molecule: long non-coding RNA, 281 nt
Organism: Papaver somniferum (opium poppy)
Lineage: Eukaryota; Viridiplantae; Streptophyta; Magnoliopsida; Ranunculales; Papaveraceae
Exons: 3
Source: RefSeq, a predicted model, not a curated record
AAUGGUUCUCUGCCUUCAACCUGAGAGGAGAAAAGAGACUUUAAGAGUACGAGUGGGGGCGUUCCAACAAGGACUCUAAAAGCAAUCCAAUUUUGUAUGAGAAGGUUCAAAUGAUCCUCAGUGAUCGCUUCCAAGGUUUUUACAUGGUUCCGGAUAAUUGGCAUCUGAUUGUUGCUUUUAAAUGUUGUAAGUUUUGUAAGUUACAAUGUAGGAAACUUUUAUGAACUCGGUAAGUUUUUUAACUUAGAAUUUGAUACUUACAAGAAUUUUGGUACUUGGAA